AUUGAACGCUGGCGGCAGGCCUAACACAUGCAAGUCGAGCGGAUGAAGGGAGCUUGCUCCUGGAUUCAGCGGCGGACUGGUGAGUAAUGCCUAGGAAUCUGCCUGGUAGUGGGGGAUAACGUCCGGAAACGGGCGCUAAUACCGCAUACGUCCUGAGGGAGAAAGUGGGGGAUCUUCGGACCUCACGCUAUCAGAUGAGCCUAGGUCGGAUUAGCUAGUUGGUGGGGUAAAGGCCUACCAAGGCGACGAUCCGUAACUGGUCUGAGAGGAUGAUCAGUCACACUGGAACUGAGACACGGUCCAGACUCCUACGGGAGGCAGCAGUGGGGAAUAUUGGACAAUGGGCGAAAGCCUGAUCCAGCCAUGCCGCGUGUGUGAAGAAGGUCUUCGGAUUGUAAAGCACUUUAAGUUGGGAGGAAGAGCAGUAAGUUAAUACCUUGCUGUUUUGACGUUACCAACAGAAUAAGCACCGGCUAACUUCGUG
RNAcentral lists this ribosomal RNA (484 nucleotides) under uncultured bacterium. RNAcentral describes it as "partial 16S ribosomal RNA". It matches the Rfam family "Bacterial small subunit ribosomal RNA", at positions 30 to 507 of the family's 1533-position model. The record is from RNAcentral.